RNAcentral lists this long non-coding RNA (3430 nucleotides) under Taeniopygia guttata (zebra finch). RNAcentral describes it as "lncRNA (ENSTGUG00000018835.1)". Lineage: Eukaryota; Metazoa; Chordata; Aves; Passeriformes; Estrildidae. The record is from RNAcentral.
GAGACAGAGUACAGUGGUAGGAUACUGAAUCUCCUGAUAGAUUUUGGGCUCGUUUGGGCCCAUUAUCUAUAGCUCUGUGCCCUUAAUUUCAGUCAACUACCUAGUGGUAAAUUAAUUAUUUACAUUUAUCAGGCUUCCCAGACUGCAAUAACUUCCACACCAUGUUAAAUUAACCAAAAAAAAGUAAAAAAUGACAAAAGAAUUGAGUAUUAUUCUGACCCUGAGGCCCCACUGCCACCUGAUGUCACUAUUCUUGUCAGGCAAAGGCAGGCAGGCAAGCUGCAUGCCUGCAAGAACUGACAGCUCUGGAAAGGAUUUCAGCAGGUAGGAAGCCCCAGGGAAAGUUAUACAAAUUAUUUCACUAAGUCAAAAGAUUUUGCCUUAUGGACAGCACUCAUUAAGACAAAUCCAUUAGCCUGGGCAAACACAGAGAUUGAGUUAAGGGUGAGUCUCCUUGAGGUCUUCUGGGGAAAGGUUGGCACUGCCUGACACAAGUGGGGAGGAAGUCCACACGGCAAACACCACAGCAGGGGAAAAAAAGCCCUCCUCCCCCUGCAUUACUACAGCUUGGUUCCCAGUAAAGCACACUAAAGCAGGAGAAACUCCACAAACAAGACAUCAGUCUGACACACAAGAGCAAAGCCUAGGCAGAAACCUGAAACCUCAUACAUGUAAUGUUGGCUGUGAAACUCUCCCACCUAUCACUGAUUCCAGAGAGUCUUCACUGGAUUUGAGGCAAGAUUUAAGCACCAGGGACAGGAAUGGAGUCACAUGCACACUGACAUAAACAUCUGUGUUUGCAUCUGGAAAGCUCAAGGGAAUAUUAUGGCAUUAGGAACAGAACAGCAAGAUUUUCAGUGAGAAGAUAUUUUAAUUGUCGUUCAGAAGUAGAAGGAUAAAUAAGUAAAGCAUCCAGAAAUGCUCACUUGAGAGUCUUUUGUUUCAUGAGUAGGCAGCAGCACAAGGGAGGCCUGAAGGAACAUUAGCAGAGGGUCUGGCUCUCUGGCCAUGUGGUAUGACUGUGACUAAUUGCAAAUGAUUAACUUCAACUCAUAUAUACUUUGGCUCAAAGAAGCAUAUACUGGUUAACACUGAAAUGUCUACACAUAUUUAUAUGUAGCAUCUAAAAUGCAUCUUAUAUUUUACAUCUAAACAAAUUUGUCACUUUGUGCAUGAUGAACCUGGUUUCCAUGAGCACAAAAUAUAUUUUAAAUGCUUGGCUCACCUGGGCUGUCAGAUACCUUUCUGUAACUCUGAUUUUAAUUAUACUAUUGGCCAGCAACCCCCAGUCCCGGAACAUGUUUUAUUCCCUCUAAGGCUUCUUGUAACAAUCAGUCAAAUCUCUAUCUCUGCACAAGGUUAAAAUAAAAAGGUAUGAGAGACAUUAAUGGCCCAGUUUGGUACUGAUAAGAAAAUACUGCAAAAUAGUGUUCCAGACUAAUUUUGUUCCUUUACUCAAGGCAAUUUAAUUUGUAUAUUAAUGGAGUCUGGUUAGCCACUAUCUUUAAUACACCCGCUGUGGGAUCUGAUGGUUUCAAAUUCCCAGAAGCUGAAGAACUCUGUAAACAUGUUCUUGCUGCACUCUAAUUAUGUGUAAGCAAACCAAUACAAUUUUGCUGAUAAACAAUUAGGAUAAAAAAUGACAAAACAAUUAUCAGUUUUAUAAUAUCCCUGUUAGAUAGGGAUUAUAAUAAUUCAGGUUAGAGGAAUGGCACACCAUUAAUUUUAGUCAUCUCUCAAGACUACACAGUGGAGCUAAGUGUAACAGUCACUACCAGUUCCUGUGUACCAGCGUUAACCAAACUUUCAAUUAAACCAUGGCAGUAAGUAAAUGCUAUUUAUACAAAGCUUGCAGCUUGACUGUUUUACAAAUGAGUAUGUGGGAAGCAAUGUGAAAUAUCAACUGAUAGUUAAUAUUUAAAUUGCUGCUCAUUUACACUUAAGGCAAGUUUCAUUGCUAUUUGCAGAGAAUUUGAAAGUUCGGAAUUCUGUGAUUCACUUCAAGAACUUUUAUAAAUAACACCCAAUUAUAAAGGAAAAAAAAAUAAAAUCAACUUGUGAUUAAUAAAACUUUCUCCCAGGAGAAAAGAACAUUUUUUAAAGACAGCAAUAAUUUCUUCACUCAUUGAAAGAACACUUUUUUGGUCUGUCUUAAAAAAGCAUUCAGGAAGGGGAAUGCUUCUGUCCCAGAUGCUUAACCUUACAGAAUCCAUCCAGAAAAGUCAGGAAAUUGAUUGUACGUAGGAUAAUCUGCAGUUAGAAAUAACAAUGCCUCUGUAAUGUCAUCAUUAACCCAGAGGGUGGCUGGGCACUGGAAGAGGUUCCCUAGGGAAGUGGUUACACACCAAGCCUGCCAGAGUUCCAGAAGCAUUUGGACAAUGCUCAGACCCAGGGGACUCCUGGGGCAGUUCUGUGCAGUGUCAGGAGCUGGACUUGAAGAUCCUUAUGGGGCCCUCCAGCUCUGGAUAUUCCAUGACCAUAUACUUUAAUCAGUGGUAAUUUAUGCCAUACACAUAAAUAUGCCUUGCUAUUAAGACCCAAUUCCACCAGUAAUACAAGCAUCAAUUGAAUCAAUCACACUCAUUUUUCAUAGUGAAUUUUGAAUCCAUUUCUAUAAGGCACUUCAGACAGACAGGGCACAGAUGCCUUUAGCACAAAUGGAGAGAGAAGAGCAUACUUGAGUCCUGAAUGUAUUCCCAGUAUUUAGUCACCAGUCUGCCUUGGGUAGCUCUCCACUCACAUACUGCUCUUCUCAGAGCCUACUCCAAGUCUUCCACAUGUACCUACCAGGCACCUUAAUGAAACUGGGGAGCUCACACAUUAGAACAACAGCUUGGAAUUAAUCCAGUUUCUUUUGUUAGUUCCUGAUCAUUAAAGUAAUGAAGAGGAGAUUGAGAAGCAGAAUUCUGCUAAAUAUUUUACCAAACUUCAUUUCAAUCCUAAUUUGUUUCAAUUUAAUGGAAUUUUCCUAAAGGAAGACGCUCUAGACUCAUGUGGUUCUAGCAAGAUGUUCAAAUAGAAAAAUUCAAAUCCUACCUGGCUGUACUCUUCUUCCAACUUGUUUUGUGUCUCAGCCCCAUCUUUGACAAGGAGAUUCUAAUUUUCUUCAUGGUCUAUGCAGUCCCUGUGGAAGAAAUUAGAUGCAUUGAAAAUAUCUCAAUAAUUCUCACAGAUUUAUGGAUUACAGGACUACAUUUCCUAAAUUAUUAACUUGAAUAUGUGCUAACACCAACAAUAAGAUGCUGUAUGAAUUCCCAGAUGUGAUUGAAACAAAAAAGAGAAAAGAACCCCAAAAUCAGCAGUUCUGCAAUUACUUACUUUUAGCAAAACAAACAUCAUUAAAGUUUAAUCCAACAUUCAGUUAAUCCUUUCAUUAAAGAUAAGCCAUACUAGCUAAGUAGAUAGCCAGUUCAACUCAAAAAGGGGAAAG